This 253-nucleotide ribosomal RNA is filed under the name uncultured bacterium. Its description in RNAcentral is "partial 16S ribosomal RNA". It matches the Rfam family "Bacterial small subunit ribosomal RNA", at positions 524 to 776 of the family's 1533-position model. The record is from RNAcentral.
UACGUAGGUGACAAGCGUUGUCCGGAUUUACUGGGCGUAAAGAGCGCGCAGGCGGUCGAUCAAGUCGAGUGUGAAAGCCCCCGGCUCAACUGGGGAGGGUCAUUCGAUACUGAUCGACUCGAAGGCAGGAGAGGGUAGUGGAAUUCCCGGUGUAGUGGUGAAAUGCGUAGAUAUCGGGAGGAACACCAGUGGCGAAGGCGGCUUUCUGGCCAUCAACUGACGCUGAGACGCGAAAGCGUGGGGAGCAAACAGG